Long non-coding RNA from Lepidothrix coronata (blue-crowned manakin), 1378 nucleotides. RefSeq lists it as uncharacterized. Lineage: Eukaryota; Metazoa; Chordata; Aves; Passeriformes; Pipridae. The transcript is spliced from 3 exons. The record is from RefSeq and is a predicted model, not a curated record.
GCUCUGCAGAACUAGAUUGGAGUGGUCAUCCCACCGGUACACCUGGAAAACACAAACAGCAUCAUCAGGCAGGCACAUGCACUGCACUCAGAAGCAAUAGCUGUUUAUUUAUGUGCAAAGCCACACAUGUGGAUAACUCAUUCCCACAAGAAUUCUGCUUGCUUCCAGAAGCUGAGGCUGAGAAAAGCUGGUAUUGUACAGAAGUCCAAGCAGAAACCGGAGGAUGGAGAAGGUAGGAGGAAGAAUAAAUAUGGCAGAGGAUAAACCACACUUCUGUGGCAACUAUGAUCAAGGACAGUGGGGGAACAGACAAUAAGUAACAACUUGCAGCCCCCUCUCCCGAAUCAGACUCAUGGGGACAGUUAUUGGAUUGAACCAAAACCAUAUUCCCUCUCAUCCCUGGAAACUGGCUGAUCAUUUCCCUCUAAUAUUCUGUAAUACCACCAUCACGCCUAACAAGAUUACACCAGAAUAUAAGAUUUGCCAGAGAUCCCUAUUUACGGAGCUGGAUGUUGAGUCAGCAGCAUAAUCCUGACCGCAAAUACUCCCGACAACUUGUGCUCCUGAAAUCCUUGUUGCCACGUAGAACUGCUGCUCCUUCAGAAAUCAGGCAUGGAACCAUCACCCCUGGCACUGGAUGGACUCGAAUACAUUAACAUAUUUGAGCCACUUAGCAAGUCCAUUCAGGGAGCAACUUACAGGAGCUGAGAGCUGCACAUUCCAAAACCAAGACUAAUUUUACACUUAACGUGAACAUCUCUCUCAAGCUAUUUAUAUUCUCUAGAACAGCUUUAGCAUUAUCUAGUAAUUCUAAGUUUAACAGAUAGUGACAGCUGCUGUCUAAGCAAGAAAAUAAAACAAUGCUGUCAAGCUAAUUAAUUUUUAAUGUGAUGAAUUAUCAUUACAUUCAGACUAAACCAUUUAAGUGACAGACAGGACCAGCACUCAGGGAAAGAUUAGAUUGGUAGGGAUGCAUUUAAAAAUUAGUCCAAUUUAUCUUUUAUCAAUUGUAUUAGAGCAGUAUUUUAACUUCUUUUGGAUUCAAAGAUCUAAUUUCUCUCAGACUCUUAAUGCAGUACUGCUGCUCAUCAGUGGUGCAAAAGAAAAUGAGAUCUGGCUCAUUCAACUUUGAUAAGACAGACACAGGCACUGAAAAGUUUCUCUUUUCCGGAUGUUUUUGGCAGCACAAAGUCCUUGCUCUGCAGCUCCUGUUAUCCAGAGCUUGCACUGCAACAGAAAAGCAGCUUGCACUGGUAUGAAACACAGUGAACAUGGCAAUUACAGCUGAUAUUAACAUCUGAUAAAUCACCCUGAUGACCUGCAUAAAGAGCUGCCUAAGAUGGAUUUCUGAGAAUUCACAAAUAAAAACAAUGUAUUU